GAUGAAGAACGCAGCGAAAUGCGAUAAGUAAUGUGAAUUGCAGAAUUCAGUGAAUCAUCGAAUCUUUGAACGCACAUUGCGCCCAUUAGUAUUCUAGUGGGCAUGCCUGUUCGAGCGUCAUUUCAACCCUUAAGCCUAGCUUAGUAUUGGGAAUCGACUUUACUGUCGUUCCUCAAAUUCAACGGCGGAUUUAUAGCAAUCUCUGAACGUAGUAAUUUUUUUUCUCGUUUUUGAAAUACUAUAAACCUCAGCCGCUAAACCCCCAAUUUCUUAUGGUUGACCUCGGAUCAGGUAGGAAUACCCGCUGAACUUAAGCAUAUCAAUAACGGAGGA
This 333-nucleotide unclassified non-coding RNA is filed under the name soil metagenome. RNAcentral describes it as "partial contains 5.8S ribosomal RNA, internal transcribed spacer 2, and large subunit ribosomal RNA". The stretch from base 1 to 120 matches the Rfam family "5.8S ribosomal RNA", at positions 35 to 154 of the family's 154-position model. The record is from RNAcentral.